This 87-nucleotide non-coding RNA is filed under the name Desulfofundulus australicus. Its description in RNAcentral is "Desulfotomaculum australicum c-di-GMP sequence". It matches the Rfam family "c-di-GMP-I riboswitch aptamer". From Rfam's summary of the family: GEMM was predicted in a large-scale screen for bacterial structured RNA regulatory elements. Genes associated with GEMM are involved in a diverse array of functions, including chemotaxis regulation, signal transduction, secretion and chitin. Lineage: Bacteria; Bacillati; Bacillota; Clostridia; Eubacteriales; Peptococcaceae. The record is from RNAcentral. RNAcentral also lists the same sequence under 1 other name.
CCCGAUUAAAGGCAAAGCCAUUGAAAAAUGGCGGCGCAAAGCUAUAGGGGCUAAGGCGAACAAACGCUAUGCCAGCCAGCUGCCGGG